GGCAGAACCUUCCCCUGCUUUUUACAAGGCAGGCAGGAUGAGACCAUUUCUGCGCCACAGCUGCCUCAGCCUUAAUAGACUGGAAUCCAAUCCAGGAGCAGGUGUUCAGAGUAGCCAUUAAAUCACAAGAGGCUCACACAACAGACAGCCAAGACUUUGGGACAUGAAACAAAUGUUUUGAUUUAACUGAACAAGACAGGAUUGUGUUGCUUUUAUCUUAUCAAAUUGCAAGUUGAUUCAAAAGUAGAAAAAGCAAUGAAUCAUUUGUGUAAAAUGGCCAGAAUUAUACAACUGGUCGUCUCUUCGUGGACUAAUUAAUAGAUCAUGUAAAAAAUUCCAGUUUUCAGUUUUAAAACAAAUUAGUAGGUUUUGAAAGCUGUGAUUUGGCUAUAACCAGUAGAAACAUUUUGCUUGUGUUACAAACAAAUAUAAUGAAAUUAAUGAGGCCUUUUGGGCUUUUCUCUCCCACUUAAAUUCUCCUCCACUCAAGUGAAAAUAGCAUCACUUCAUGUUCUCAGUAUAAAAGUAAUGUAUUACUGAUUUUUCAAAAGUGAACAGAAAAGUUUAAGCAAGACACUCCCACUACCUAUGUCCUUUUCUGAGAUCCAGCCCCUCAUUUGGUAUAAGGGUGGAGAAGAAAUGUUGGAACUUCAUGCCUUGGAGGAGUGGGCAGUGAAGGGAAAGGCAGUUGCACUGGGAGUAGGGAAGAGGAAAAAAUAUUCCUCGAAGAGGAAGAAAAAGCCAGUGGACAUGGGAACAGAUGAAGUCUCUCCCUGUUAAAUAAAGAGAGACAAAUUCCAACCACAGGGAGAAGCCACUUCUGGACUCCAGGAUUGGCAAAAGGGAUGAGUGGCAGGACCCGGUGUGGCAGGGAAGGAAAGGGGAGGGCCGGCUCCUGCCGCACUGCUGGUGGGAGUGGUAACUGGGGUCCUGAUCUCACGGGUGACGUGGCCCUCACGUGAGCAGAAGCCGACGUGUGCAGAUGUCCUUCUAAUCCUGGUCUUCGUUUGGUCGAGCUGCCCUCUCCCUGUUGCCCAGAGGGCGGGCCCGUGGCCGUGGCCGAGGAAAGGAGGAGGAGGAGGUGUAUGCCUGGAUCCCAGCAGAGCGUUAUGCCAUUUGGAGCAAAGGAAUAAUCUGCCUCGAAUCCCUGCAGGAAAAGCUGGUAUUGGGACUCUCCGAAGUGCUGCUCGCCGAGCCAUUUGUCUCUGCUGGGUCGACUGCGUCUGUGAAUCUUGUGCCUGAAGGCCAAUCCAACCCUGGGAGCAGGAAGAAGAGGAAAAUCGUCCAGAACCAAUCCUUAGGUUUGGCGGAGGCGGAAACCGAGAAGAGGGAGGAAGGAAAUUGCUCCCGAGCAAUAGAAGUUGGUAUAAUUGGAGGGCGGUUGUCCUGGUCCCUUUGAUUUGGUGGGGGUGGCAGAGGUAAGGGCGGAGUUAGACACUUUCAUGCACUUCAUGCCUGUCUGGCUUCUAGAUAUUCUCACUUCACCACCAUCCAUUUUGUUACAAGGAAGGGGGUGUGGGCCUCACCUUCAGAGGA
RNAcentral lists this long non-coding RNA (1536 nucleotides) under Microcebus murinus (gray mouse lemur). RNAcentral's name for it is "lncRNA (ENSMICG00000048225.1)". The record is from RNAcentral. Lineage: Eukaryota; Metazoa; Chordata; Mammalia; Primates; Cheirogaleidae.